CCUACGGGAGGCUGCAGUGGGGAAUAUUGCACAAUGGCGGAAACGCUGAUGCAGCGACGCCGCGUGAGUGAAGAAGUAUUUCGGUACGUAAAGCUCUAUCAGCAGGGAAGAAAAAGACGGUACCUGACUAAGAAGCACCGGCUAACUACGGGACACAAGCCGCGGUAAUUAGGAGGGGGCAAGCGUUAUCCGGAUUUACUGGGUGUAAAGGGGGCGUAGACGGCAGCGCAAGUCUGAAGUGAAAGCCCAUGGUUUAACCAUGGGACGGCCUUGGAAACUGGGCAGCUGGAGUGCAGGAGAGGUAAGCGGAAUUCCUAGUGUAGCGGUGAAAUGCGUAGAUAUUAGGCAGAACACCAGUGGCGAAGGCAGCUUACUGGACUGUAACUGACGUUGAGGCUCGAAAGCGUGGGGAGCGAACAGGAUUAGAUACCCCUGUAGUC
RNAcentral lists this ribosomal RNA (440 nucleotides) under uncultured bacterium. Its description in RNAcentral is "partial 16S ribosomal RNA". It matches the Rfam family "Bacterial small subunit ribosomal RNA", at positions 338 to 795 of the family's 1533-position model. The record is from RNAcentral.